This 458-nucleotide ribosomal RNA is filed under the name uncultured bacterium. RNAcentral's name for it is "bacterial SSU rRNA". It matches the Rfam family "Bacterial small subunit ribosomal RNA", at positions 340 to 786 of the family's 1533-position model. The record is from RNAcentral.
UACGGGAGGCAGUAGUGGGGAAUAUUGCACAAUGGGCGAAAGCCUGAUGCAGCUAUGCCGCGUGUAUGAAGAAGGCCUUAGGGUUGUAAAGUACUUUCAUCGGGGAGGAAAAAACAAAACUAAUAAUUUUAUUUCUUGACGUUACCCGAAAAAGAAGCACCGGCUAACUCCGUGCCAGCAGCCGCGGUAAUACGGAGGGUGCUAGCGUUAAUCAGAAUUACUGGGCGUAAAGAGCACGUAGGUGGUUUUUUUAAGUCAGAUGUGAAAUCCCUGGGCUUAACCUAGGAACUGCAUUUUGAAACUGAAAUACUAGAGUAUCGUAGAGGGAGGUAGAAUUCUAGGUGUAGCGGUGAAAUGCGUAGAUAUCUGGAGGAAUACCUGUGGCGAAAGCGGCCUCCUAAACGAAUACUGACACUGAGGGUGCGAAAGCGUGGGGAGCGAAACAGGGAUUAGAUACC